Molecule: ribosomal RNA, 573 nt
Filed under: Shewanella sp. J1.1E7
Lineage: Bacteria; Pseudomonadati; Pseudomonadota; Gammaproteobacteria; Alteromonadales; Shewanellaceae
Description: bacterial SSU rRNA
Rfam family: Bacterial small subunit ribosomal RNA
Source: RNAcentral
GACGGGUGAGUAAUGCCUAGGGAUCUGCCCAGUCGAGGGGGAUAACAGUUGGAAACGACUGCUAAUACCGCAUACCCCCUACGGGAGAAAGGAGGGGACCUUCGGGCCUUCCACGAUUGGUGAACCUAGGUGGGAUUAGCUAGUUGGUGAGGUAAUGGCUCACCAAGGCGACGAUCCCUAGCUGUUCUGAGAGGAUGAUCAGCCACACUGGGACUGAGACACCGCCCACACUCCUACCGGAGGCAGCAGUGGGGAAUAUUGCACAAUGGGGGAAACCCUGAUGCAGCCAUGCCGCGUGUGUGAAGAACGCCUUCCGGUUGUUAAGCACUUUCUUUACGGAGGAAAGGUUGUAAGUUAAUACCUUGCCUCUGUGACAUUUCCUACAGAAGAAGGACCGGCUAACUCCGUGCCACCGGCCGCGGUAAUACGGAGGGGCCAAGCGUUAAUCGGAAUUACUGGGCGUAUGGUCUGCGCAUGCUGCUGGUCCACCGAGAUGUGUUAGCCCCGGGCUCAACCUGGCAAUUGCCUUUCGAACUGUACAACUAGAGUCUUGUAGAGGGGGGUAGAAUUCCA